Long non-coding RNA from Neofelis nebulosa (Clouded leopard), 523 nucleotides. RefSeq lists it as uncharacterized. The transcript has 4 exons. The record is from RefSeq and is a predicted model, not a curated record. NCBI's taxonomy places the organism in Eukaryota, Metazoa, Chordata, Mammalia, Carnivora, Felidae.
GUGGUUGACUCUGGUCUGGAAGCCCAGGAACCUCCUUUUGGCCUAUCCUCAGAAGGUCAAUAGUAACCUAAUGCUGAAUUACAGUGCCUGCGUCAUUCACCUCACUUCAUCUCAUCAUGUAGUCAUUUUAUCAUCUCACAUCAUCACAAGAAGAAGAAGGGUUGUGUGCAAACUGAAGUGGUUGGAAAAUCUAUUGGUCGUGCACAUUUUAAAAACUCUUUGUGAAAUAAAGUGUUGGACUCAGACUUCCAAGUGGCCACCAGUCUGGAGCAAAGUAUAUUGAGAAGUAAAAUGGUUUGUCUUCAACUGCUCAUCCCCUUUCGACAUCUGUUCCCUUGGAGGAUGCCAGUGCCCCAGGACCUGGUGCUGGAAAUAACGGCAGCUGGAGCUCACCAGCUUCUUGGACUCACAAAGAUCCUCAUUGCUCUGGGCCUGGUUUGCUGCCUGUCAUUCCUCAGGAGUUCCCUGGUCUAUGGAGCCCAAGCUGUGCCAUUUAUAUCAGUAAGUGGCUAUUCACCCUGCA